Molecule: ribosomal RNA, 492 nt
Filed under: uncultured bacterium
Lineage: Bacteria
Description: partial 16S ribosomal RNA
Rfam family: Bacterial small subunit ribosomal RNA
Source: RNAcentral
AGUGAACGCUGGCGGUAGGCCUAACACAUGCAAGUCGAACGGCAGCACAGUAAGAGCUUGCUCUUACGGGUGGCGAGUGGCGGACGGGUGAGGAAUACAUCGGAAUCUACUUUUUCGUGGGGGAUAACGUAGGGAAACUUACGCUAAUACCGCAUACGACCUACGGGUGAAAGCAGGGGAUCUUCGGACCUUGCGCGAUUGAAUGAGCCGAUGUCGGAUUAGCUAGUUGGCGGGGUAAAGGCCCACCAAGGCGACGAUCCGUAGCUGGUCUGAGAGGAUGAUCGGCCACACUGGAACUGAGACACGGUCCAGACUCCUACGGGAGGCAGCUGUGGGGAAUAUUGGACAAUGGGCGCAAGCCUGAUCCAGCCAUACCGCGUGGGUGAAGAAGGCCUUCGGGUUGUAAAGCCCUUUUGUUGGGAAAGAAAAGCAGCAGGUUAAUACCCCGCUGUUCUGACGGUACCCAAAGAAUAAGCACCGGCUAACUUCGUG